GAUGAACGCUAGCGGGAGGCCUAACACAUGCAAGCCGAGCGGUAUUUGUCCUUCGGGACAGAGAGAGCGGCGUACGGGUGCGGAACACGUGUGCAACCUACCUUUAUCAGGGGGAUAGCCUUUCGAAAGGAAGAUUAAUACCCCAUAAUAUAAACCAAGGCAUCUUGAUUUAUUGAAAACUCCGGUGGAUAGAGAUGGGCACGCGCAAGAUUAGAUAGUUGGUAGGGUAACGGCCUACCAAGUCAAUGAUCUUUAGGGGGCCUGAGAGGGUGAUCCCCCACACUGGUACUGAGACACGGACCAGACUCCUACGGGAGGCAGCAGUGAGGAAUAUUGGACAAUGGGUGAGAGCCUGAUCCAGCCAUCCCGCGUGAAGGACGACGGCCCUAUGGGUUGUAAACUUCUUUUGUAUAGGGAUAAACCUACCCUCGUGAGAGUAGCUGAAGGUACUAUACGAAUAAGCACCGGCUAACUCCGUGCCAGCAGCCGCGGUAAUACGGAGGGUGCAAGCGUUAUCCGGAUUUAUUGGGUUUAAAGGGUCCGUAGGCGGGCUUGUAAGUCAGUGGUGAAAUCUCAUAGCUUAACUAUGAAACUGCCAUUGAUACUGCAGGUCUUGAGUAAAGUAGAAGUGGCUGGAAUAAGUAGUGUAGCGGUGAAAUGCAUAGAUAUUACUUAGAACACCAAUUGCGAAGGCAGGUCACUAUGUUUUAACUGACGCUGAUGGACGAAAGCGUGGGGAGCGAACAGGAUUAGAUACCCUGGUAGUCCACGCCGUAAACGAUGCUAACUCGUUUUUGGGGCUUCGGCUUCAGAGACUAAGCGAAAGUGAUAAGUUAGCCACCUGGGGAGUACGUUCGCAAGAAUGAAACUCAAAGGAAUUGACGGGGGCCCGCACAAGCGGUGGAUUAUGUGGUUUAAUUCGAUGAUACGCGAGGAACCUUACCAAGGCUUAAAUGGGAAUUGACAGGUUUAGAAAUAGACUUUUCUUCGGACAAUUUUCAAGGUGCUGCAUGGUUGUCGUCAGCUCGUGCCGUGAGGUGUUAGGUUAAGUCCUGCAACGAGCGCAACCCCUGUCACUAGUUGCCAUCAUUCAGUUGGGGACUCUAGUGAGACUGCCUACGCAAGUAGAGAGGAAGGUGGGGAUGACGUCAAAUCAUCACGGCCCUUACGCCUUGGGCCACACACGUAAUACAAUGGCCGGUACAGAGGGCAGCUACCUAGCGAUAGGAUGCGAAUCUCGAAAGCCGGUCUCAGUUCGGAUUGGAGUCUGCAACUCGACUCUAUGAAGCUGGAAUCGCUAGUAAUCGCAUAUCAGCCAUGAUGCGGUGAAUACGUUCCCGGGCCU
RNAcentral lists this ribosomal RNA (1345 nucleotides) under uncultured bacterium. RNAcentral's name for it is "bacterial SSU rRNA". It matches the Rfam family "Bacterial small subunit ribosomal RNA", at positions 28 to 1381 of the family's 1533-position model. The record is from RNAcentral.